AACAAGCAAAACACGCCUGCAACAACCCAAGGGAAAGCGCCUACUAGAAAAAGAAUUUUUCACCUUACAAGGCCCGAAGAUCCAAUGACAAAAAGGCCCAAAAAACUUAUACAUCGAGAAAGCCCAACAAUGCACACAUGCCCUACUUACAAAGCUAAGAAAGUCUAAAAUAGGCAUGCAGGCCCGAGAGAAAGAACAAACAGAGAAAAGAAAAUAAAUCCACCUGCAACAAGCAAAACACGCCUGCAACAACCCAAGGGAAAGCGCCUACUAGAAAAAGAAUUUUUCACGUGUAUAGAGAGGCUAAUCGUCUGGCAGAUGGAUCGAUUAACUAUGCCGUUCUCUAUGUCUUUGGGUUUUCAUAUGUUUACGUCUAGUCCGGAGGAUUAGUUCUAUUAUAUUUGAGGAUGGUAUCGGCUUUUCACACACGAGUCUUGUUCGAGUGUAAUCUUAUUUUCUGUUUUAAUAAUACCUAGAUGAUUUUUCUCCUCUCUUUCACCAAAAAAAAAAAAAACAAAAACAAAAUGGUCACAGAGCUAUGCAUUGGCUAUAAUGUAAGAGAAUUGGGUUACCAAAAAGAGAAGGAAGACUGGGUUUCAAGGAUCUAGAAAUCUUCAAUCUGGCUUUACCACGUAAGCAGGUGUGGUGAAUUGUUCAAGCGCCAAAUAGUUUGUUAUCUCGUUUCUUAAAAGCAAAGUAUUUCCCACGUGAUAAUAUCUUUAAUGCAAAUCAUAGAGUUAAAGUUGAAAUCACUACUAGAAGAGAGAG
Molecule: long non-coding RNA, 768 nt
Filed under: Capsella rubella
Lineage: Eukaryota; Viridiplantae; Streptophyta; Magnoliopsida; Brassicales; Brassicaceae
Description: long non-coding RNA (CRUB_LNC003506)
Source: RNAcentral